Molecule: long non-coding RNA, 1692 nt
Organism: Astatotilapia calliptera (eastern happy)
Lineage: Eukaryota; Metazoa; Chordata; Actinopteri; Cichliformes; Cichlidae
Source: Ensembl
GGAGAAUCAUCAAUUUUGGCAACAAAGAAGCCUGGUGGAUGUUUGUUUACAGUCUGAUGAUGGGACAUCAUGCUCUGCAUCUUCAAAGUUUGCCUCCUCAUUAUUAUUCAUACCCAGUAAUGUGAAGUAUGCUCAUAUCUACUAUAACUGAACCAACCUGGUGCUCUUCAUUUAUGGAGGCUGUUGAGUCUGAAUGUUGGAUGUUGUGUAUCUCGUGUUCUCUGGGCUUUGUUGUCCUCAGUCUUUUCGCAGGAUCAGAAAACAAAACCAGGAGGUGCGUAAAUGUUUCUUCUCCAUGAUGUUUCUCCAAAUGUUUCUUCUGGAUGAUGAUAAGACUGUGACACGGGAUGCCACCUUUGGUCUUGUGAUGAAGCAAAGCUCAGGAAGAAGUGGGAUUAAAUGGUACCCACAUGUGUGCUGCUGAGAAGGAUGUACAGGGGCACCUGCAGCCAAAUCCAAGCCUCAGAGCAGAGCAGCAGUUUGUGCUCACAGAUGGUGACGGUGUGGAGAGACGGUGGUUUUCCUCAGAAGAACCAGCAGAGUCACAAAGGGCACCAGUCCAUCUCACCACCUUAACUUUCUGACUGAUGCUCGUCUGCACUGCACAGAGGAAAUCAGCUGAUCGAGGUUUGUCCAGUGACGUGUUAUGAAAUGUAUAUUUGUUUUAUGCUUACAGAUGUGUUUUUCUUGACAGAGGCUCUGCAGAGGUUAGACAAAGCAGAGAAAACAUGUGCUUUACAUUUUACUGUGAUUUAUUGAGAUAUUUGUUGCCUGAUGUUCAGCAGGAAUGGAGAAAUAGAAUCAAAGGGAGAAGUUUUUGCUGUUUUUGUAAUGAUGUAAGUAAAUCUUCAAUAUUAUUUAUUUGCUUGGUUAUAUUAGGAGUGUUUCUGAGUGAGGGGGGAGGAGUCAUCAUCCAGGUAAAGUGACGUGGAUCAGUGGAUACACGUGUCUCCCCUUUAAAGGAGACGAUCCAAGUCAUCCUUAAAUAUGGGCAGCAUAUCAGUCUUGGACUGUCUAACCUGCAGCACUGAAUGACCACCACACAUGAGCAUGUUCCUGCAACAUUCAGCAUCUGAUCCUUCAUCUGUGUGCUGCUGCUUUUGUGUCACAUGUCAAACAGCUGGAGAGGAAACUACACCAGUGUACUGGGAUGUUUCACCAACACGUGCCAGAUGCUGUUCCUUCAUGGUGACAUCACCAGAGACAGCCCCGCCCACCUCAGGACCUCGCCAUUGAUCAUGAUGAUUAUAAUGAUGACAGCGAGCGGAACUAAGACUGUAAAAAUCCACGACCAGAAUGUUUCUUUCUAAUUAUGAAUGAAUACUGAGAGCCUCUUUCUGUGUUUUGUCUGUUUUGUUUUUUUACCUCAUUUGUUUCUAACAAAGUUCACAAACUCACACAGUUUACAUUCUGUAUGUUUCCAUCUUUACCAGCCACACUAACUGCAUUUAAGAAAAUAAUCCUUAGAAAUCGUCGUUUUUCUCUUUUGUAAUUGAUGAUAAUUCAGUGAAUAUACUGCGCUGCUUCCUUUUAUUGCGUCUCACAUUGCUUUAAGUUUUUCAGUGUCGUUAUUUUUUACUGCUGUUUGAAUUCUCUGUAUGUUUGACCCUGUAGACUGUUUGAUGGACUGCUUGCCUUCCUGUUUGUAACCGCCGCCUGUUUUUUAAUAAAGAUUUGGAUUUCUGACUUCAA